CUGACUGCUAUCGGAUUGAUACUAAGCCAUGCGAGUCAUUGUAGUAAUACAAGGCAGACGGCUCAGUAACGCGUAGUCAACCUAACCUAUGGACGGGAAUAACCUCGGGAAACUGAGUAUAAUGCCCGAUAGAACAUUAUGCCUGGAAUGGUUUAUGUUCCAAAUGAUUUAUCGCCGUAGGAUGGGACUGCGGCCUAUCAGUUUGUUGGUGAGGUAAUGGCCCACCAAGACUAUUACAGGUACGGGCUCUGAGAGGAGUAGCCCGGAGAUGGGUACUGAGACACGGACCCAGGCCCUAUGGGGCGCAGCAGGCGAGAAAACUUUGCAAUGUGCGAAAGCACGACAAGGUUAAUCCGAGUGGUUUCUGCUAAAGGAACCUUUUGUCGGUCCUAGAAACACCGAUGAAUAAGGGGUGGGCAAGUUCUGGUGUCAGCCGCCGCGGUAAAACCAGCACCUCAAGUGGUCAGGAUGAUUAUUGGGCCUAAAGCAUCCGUAGCCGGCUCUGUUAGUUUUCGGUUAAAUCUGUACGCUCAACGUACAGGCUGCCGGGAAUACUGCAGAGCUAGGGAGUGGGAGAGGUAGACGGUACUCGGUAGGAAGGGGUAAAAUCCUUUGAUCUAUUGAUGACCACCUGUGGCGAAGGCGGUCUACCAGAACACGUCCGACGGUGAGGGAUGAAAGCUGGGGGAGCAAACCGGAUUAGAUACCCGGGUAGUCCCAGCUGUAAACUAUGCAAACUCAGUGAUGCAUUGGCUUGUGGCCAAUGCA
This 768-nucleotide ribosomal RNA is filed under the name uncultured marine archaeon. RNAcentral's name for it is "bacterial SSU rRNA". It matches the Rfam family "Archaeal small subunit ribosomal RNA", at positions 23 to 797 of the family's 1478-position model. The record is from RNAcentral.